Molecule: ribosomal RNA, 253 nt
Filed under: uncultured bacterium
Lineage: Bacteria
Description: partial 16S ribosomal RNA
Rfam family: Bacterial small subunit ribosomal RNA
Source: RNAcentral
UACGUAGGGUGCGAGCGUUGUCCGGAAUUAUUGGGCGUAAAGCGUCCGUAGGUGGCUAGUCAAGUCUGCGGUCAAAGACUGGGGCUUAACCCUGGAAAGGCCGUGGAAACUGACGAGCUAGAGGGCAGUAGGGGUAGAGGGAAUUCCCGGUGUAGCGGUGAAAUGCGUAGAGCUCGGGAAGAACAUCGGUGGCGAAAGCGCUCUACUGGACUGCAACUGACACUCAGGGACGAAAGCUAGGGGAGCGAAUGGG